This 2144-nucleotide long non-coding RNA is filed under the name Homo sapiens (human). Its description in RNAcentral is "HSALNT0363820". The record is from RNAcentral. Lineage: Eukaryota; Metazoa; Chordata; Mammalia; Primates; Hominidae.
AUCCACUCAGCGGCACAGACUCCCGAAAGUGUCGCUCCAGUCCGAGUUGGCUCCUGUCCCUUGUCCACAUAGACCGUCUCCCCGCUCCCCCAAUAUGGCACAAGGUGCCUAGGCCGUGUGGGGCGUCGGCAGGUAUCACGGGUGGGGUCCAUUGUGUGAGGACUAACAUCGCGGCCUUUCCCCAGACCAGCCACCGGGGACUCCAGAGAGGCCUCGGCCCAGCUCCCGGAAAGGGUCUCCCAGCCAGGCCUUCUAGCGGCCCAAAGCGGAUGGAAACUUGACCCAGAAUGGACAAGUGAUUCUCCAGGUCCAGGACUAAAACAUGGGCCUCUCAACAUCUCAGCAGGCAGGUGGAAGAGAUGGAGCAAACUCACUUGGAGCAAAGAUGGGCAGGAGGGGAACAGCGAAGCCCAGGCCAACGGCACCACAGGGCCCCUGGCAGAACAUGGACAGAGACAGUGUGAUUCCAGGGCUCUGUUCCCUUGCUGCUGCCUCCAUGGGCCCCGUACAUGUGCUCAUGAUUCUUAGACACAAACAAAGCUCCCAACACAGUGAUGGAAAUGCAGCUGCCAAGGGGGAUUGCCAAGGAAACCAUCUUUGAAAGGCUCAUUAUUCUUAUGAAGAAUCUGCAGGAGACAGGAGUUCUCAAAACAACUCUCGCUCCGCCUCUAUCCUCAACCGGACUCUGUGGGAGUGUCUCUUUUAACGAGAGUAUGGAGAGUCAUUGAACGUUUCAGAGCAAGCGAGGGACAGAGGAGGAGGCUGCUGUUUCAGGCGAUGCACAUCUCUGCAACAGGAAUCCUACAGAUAGUCCCAAGUGCUGGACAAGGAAUGGGUUUUAGGGUCACCCAAACCUGGGUUCACAUCCUGGCUCACCACUUACAAGUUGUGUGACUUUGUUCCUUAAUCACCGAGUUCUGAUUUGUUUAUCUGUAAAUGGGAGUGACACCUGCAGACUCUAACCUUACUGUGAGGAUUAAAUGAGACGAAGUGUGUAAAGGCCAAGUAAAGGUUCAUUCCCUCCCCCUAGGCUGUGGCAACUCUGCAUUUUACAAAAGUCGAAUCAAGAUCUGGGGCCAGCCCCUAGUUCAGGUCUUUCCCUGCCACUCUGGGUUCCCUCCAGGCAGACAUGUUCUUCUGAAAUACAGGGAAAUGGUUGCACUUAGGUGGGUAAGUGGCUAGGUGGUUAUGUUUUCUUUGUGGUUAUUUACCUAUUUAUUUUUGCCAAUGUUAAAUACUUUUUCUAGAUUUGGCCUGCUAGGGAGAACUAAAUAAAUUUCCAAUUGUAUGAGAAAUAUUUUUAAAGGCAUUCUCGAUUGUUUUAGCACCAAGAAGGCAAAGUCAAAGGCACAGCAGAUUGUCCCAGUGGGCUGCCAGGAAUCUAAUAAUUCUGCUAAUGACCCUUUUUAAAAUGUAAAGUGUUGGACUAAGGCAGCGCUCAAUUCUUGUCUAACACUAUGCUCCUGGGAACUUGCAAAUCAUCAUUGUCUUCCCCCAACCCCCAUCUAAAGCAAAGGAUCGGAUCUUGAGCAAUUAAUCAAAAUUGGUUUCCUGCAUCCAGAGGGGAUCACUCCAAAUGAAUGUGGAAUUGCAGAGAUGGAUCUGCACCAGCUGAUUUAUAGGGUGUGCUUAGAGAGCAGGGGCCAGAUGAAAGGCUGGGGGACGGGAAGAGGCAGCAAGAGCCAACACUAGAUGGCGUUAAUCUCAGGCCAUUGUGUGGCAGGAGUGGAUUCACCUUGUGUAGCUCCAGCUGCCAUACUGUUAGGGACCAGGGGCAGUAAUUAACUGGGAAGCUGUGGUCAGCAAAACUACCCAUAACAUGAGCUAUUGGCGAGGGCAUUGCACACUCCAGUUUGCAGAGGACUUUUGCAUGCCUCCCCAUGGGGCCCUCACCGCAGGCCUGGGAAUCAGGUAUCCCUUGCUUUCAGAGCUCUUGCCACCUGCUAUCCUGAACUCUGAAAACAAACAGGUCGAAAUAAAUAAAAUUAUCCCUUGCUGGCCAAAUUCUUGCUUCCUGAAUUGGGAACCAAAUAUAUUCGAAGAGUGAUCGAUAUUUGUAUUAUUGUUAUCUAUUGGAGGCUUAAAGAAAUUAAGAGACUCAGUUAAGGUCACACAGCUAGUAAAUAGUAGAGCUUGGAUUUAGA